AUGGCAACUCUUCUCAAUGGACAGAGGGAUGGCAGCUCGGGACAGAGGGGCGGAAGCUCUGGACAGAGGGGCGGCAGCUCCUGGCUGACUGGCGACCCCUGGCUGACUGGCAGAUCUGGAAGAGUCUGGUCGACUGGCAGAUCUGGAAGAGUCUGGUCGACUGGCAGAUCUGGAAGAGUCUGGUCGACUGGCAGAUCUGGAAGAGUCUGGUCGACUGGCAGAUCUGGAAGAGUCUGGUCGACUGGCAGAUCUGGAAGCUCCAUGCUGACUGGCUGCUCCAUGCUGACUGGCUGCUCCAUGCUGACUGGCUGCUCCAUGCUGACCGGCUGCUCCAUGCUGACUGGCUGCUCUGGCUGCUCCAUGCUGACUGGCUGCUCCAUGCUGACUGGCUGCUCCAUGCUGACUGGCUGCUCUGGCGGCUCCUUGCAGACUGGCUGCUCUGGCGGCUCCUUGCAGACUGGCAGCUCUGGCGGCUCCUUGCAGACUGGCAGCUCUGGCGGCUCCUUGCAGACUGGCAGCUCUGGCGGCUCCUUGCAGACUGGCAGCUCUGGUGGCUCCUUGCAGACUGGCAGCUCUGGCAGCUCCUUGCAGACUGGCAGCUCUGGCGGCUCCUUGCAGACUGGCGGCAUCCUGCAGACUGGCAGCUCUAUGCAGACUGGCAGCUCCUUGCAGACUGGCAGCUCCUUGAAGACUGGCAGCUCCUUGCAGACUGGCAGCUCCUUGCAGACUGGCAGCUCUGGCAGCUCUAUGCAGACUGGCAGCUCCUUGCAGACUGGCAGCUCCUUGCAGACUGGCAGCUCCUUGCAGACUGGCAGUUCUGAACAGGCGGGAGACUCCGGCAGCGCUGGAGAGGAGGAAGGCUCCGGCAGCGCUGGACAUGCGAGGCGCACUGUAGGCCUGAUGCGUGGUGCUGGCACUGGUGGUACUGGGCCGAGAACACGCACAGGAAGCCUGGUGCGGGGAGCUGCUACCGGAGGGCUGGGGUGUGGAGGUGGUACUGGAUAG
RNAcentral lists this long non-coding RNA (1005 nucleotides) under Oncorhynchus mykiss (rainbow trout). RNAcentral's name for it is "lncRNA (ENSOMYG00000069153.1)". The record is from RNAcentral. Lineage: Eukaryota; Metazoa; Chordata; Actinopteri; Salmoniformes; Salmonidae.